AACGCUAGCUACAGGCUUAACACAUGCAAGUCGAGGGGCAGCAUUAGGUAGCAAUACUGAGAUGGCGACCGGCGCACGGGUGCGUAACGCGUAUCCAACCUUCCCGUUACUCUUGGAUAGCCUUCCGAAAGGGAGAUUAAUACAAGAUGGUGUUGAAAUUCCGCAUGUUAUUUCAACUAAAGAUUUAUCGGUAACGGAUGGGGAUGCGUGACAUUAGAUAGAUGGCGGGGUAACGGCCCACCAUGUCCACGAUGUCUAGGGGUUCUGAGAGGAAGGUCCCCCACACUGGAACUGAGACACGGUCCAGACUCCUACGGGAGGCAGCAGUGAGGAAUAUUGGUCAAUGGCCGGAAGGCUGAACCAGCCAAGUAGCGUGAAGGAUGAAGGUUCUAUGGAUUGUAAACUUCUUUUAUAGGGGAAUAAAACCUCCCACGUGUGGGAGCUUGUAUGUACCCUAUGAAUAAGCAUCGGCUAACUCCGUGCCAGCAGCCGCGGUAAUACGGAGGAUGCGAGCGUUAUCCGGAUUUAUUGGGUUUAAAGGGAGCGUAGACGGGAGAUUAAGUCAGCUGUGAAAGUUUGAGGCCCAACCUUAAAAUUGCAGUUGAUACUGGUUUCCUUGAGUGCGGUUGAGGUGUGUGGAAUUCGUGGUGUAGCGGUGAAAUGCUUAGAUAUCACGAAGAACUCCGAUUG
RNAcentral lists this ribosomal RNA (690 nucleotides) under uncultured Bacteroidales bacterium. Its description in RNAcentral is "bacterial SSU rRNA". It matches the Rfam family "Bacterial small subunit ribosomal RNA", at positions 32 to 715 of the family's 1533-position model. The record is from RNAcentral. Lineage: Bacteria; Pseudomonadati; Bacteroidota; Bacteroidia; Bacteroidales.